GUCCUCCAAGCUCAUGUGGAAGAGCGCUCGGUUGAAGCCCGAGAGGUUGCCGGUUCGAACCCGGCGGUGGACA
This 73-nucleotide transfer RNA is filed under the name Microbacterium paraoxydans. RNAcentral's name for it is "tRNA-Phe". It matches the Rfam family "tRNA". Rfam says of the family: Transfer RNA (tRNA) molecules are approximately 80 nucleotides in length. Their secondary structure includes four short double-helical elements and three loops (D, anti-codon, and T loops). Further hydrogen bonds mediate the characteristic L-shaped molecular structure. tRNAs have two regions of fundamental functional importance: the anti-codon, which is responsible for specific mRNA codon recognition, and the 3' end, to which the tRNAs corresponding amino acid is attached (by aminoacyl-tRNA synthetases). tRNAs cope with the degeneracy of the genetic code in two manners: having more than one tRNA (with a specific anti-codon) for a particular amino acid; and 'wobble' base-pairing, i.e. permitting non-standard base-pairing at the 3rd anti-codon position. The record is from RNAcentral. Lineage: Bacteria; Bacillati; Actinomycetota; Actinomycetes; Micrococcales; Microbacteriaceae. RNAcentral also lists the same sequence under 1 other name.